CCUACGGGGGGCUGCAGUGGGGAAUAUUGGGCAAUGGGCGCAAGCCUGACCCAGCAACGCCGCGUGAAGGAAGAAGGCUUUCGGGUUGUAAACUUCUUUUCUGAGGGACGAAGAACGUGACGUUCCCUCAGGAAUACGCCACGGCUAACUACGUGCCAGCAGCCGCGGGAAUACGUAGGUGGCAAACGUUCUCCGGAUUUAUGGGGUGUAAGGGGGGUGUAGGCGGGAAAGCAGGUCAGAUGUGAAAACUCAGGGCUCAACCCUGGGCCUGCAUUUGAAACUGUUUUUCUUGAGUGCUGGAGAGGCCAUCGGAAUUCCGUGUGUAGCGGUGAAAUGCGUAGAUAUACGGAGGAACACCAGUGGCGAAGGCGGAUUGCUGGACAGUAACUGACACUGAGGCGCGAAAGCGUGGGGAGCAAACAGGAUUAGAUACCCCAGUAGUC
RNAcentral lists this ribosomal RNA (443 nucleotides) under uncultured bacterium. RNAcentral describes it as "partial 16S ribosomal RNA". It matches the Rfam family "Bacterial small subunit ribosomal RNA", at positions 338 to 795 of the family's 1533-position model. The record is from RNAcentral.